RNAcentral lists this ribosomal RNA (345 nucleotides) under uncultured eukaryote. RNAcentral describes it as "SSU rRNA". It matches the Rfam family "Eukaryotic small subunit ribosomal RNA", at positions 619 to 977 of the family's 1831-position model. The record is from RNAcentral.
UUAAAAAGCUCGUAGUUGGAUUUCUGGGAAGGCGCCAUGCUAGCUUCUUGCUUUCGCAACGGCACCUUUCCAUCCUUCUGUUAGCGCCUCUUGGCAUUCAUUUGCUGGUGGCGGGCUCAGAUAUUUUACCUUGAGAAAAUUAGAGUGUUUCAGGCAGGCUACGCCGGAAUACAUUAGCAUGGAAUAAUGGAAUAGGACUGAGGUCUCUUUGUUGGUUUGAGGGACUCCAGUAAUGAUUAAUAGGGACAGUUGGGGGCAUUAGUAUUUAUUAGUCAGAGGUGGAAUUCUAUGAUUUGAUAAAGACUAACUUAUGCGAAAGCAUUUGCCAAGGAUGUUUUCAUUAAU